Molecule: ribosomal RNA, 338 nt
Filed under: uncultured Fusibacter sp.
Lineage: Bacteria; Bacillati; Bacillota; Clostridia; Eubacteriales; Fusibacteraceae
Description: bacterial SSU rRNA
Rfam family: Bacterial small subunit ribosomal RNA
Source: RNAcentral
CAUGGUUGUCGUCAGCUCGUGUCGUGAGAUGUUGGGUUAAGUCCCGCAACGAGCGCAACCUUGUGUUUAGUUGCAAACAGGUCAAGCUGUGCACUCUAGACAGACUGCCGUGGACAACACGGAGGAAGGUGGGGAUGACGUCAAAUCAUCAUGCCCCUUAUGAUCUGGGCUACACACGUGCUACAAUGGCCGGUACAACGGGCAGCGAAGGAGCGAUCCGGAGCGAAUCCUAAAAAGCCGGUCCCAGUUCGGAUUGCAGGCUGAAACUCGCCUACAUGAAGUUGGAGUUGCUAGUAAUCGCGAAUCAGAAUGUCGCGGUGAAUGCGUUCCCGGGUCUU